This 214-nucleotide non-coding RNA is filed under the name Clostridiaceae bacterium. Its description in RNAcentral is "6S RNA". It matches the Rfam family "6S / SsrS RNA". Rfam says of the family: E. coli 6S RNA was the first non coding RNA to be sequenced, but its function was unknown until recently. It consists of 184 nucleotides that fold into an extended hairpin structure with a large single-stranded internal bulge. Lineage: Bacteria; Bacillati; Bacillota; Clostridia; Eubacteriales; Clostridiaceae. The record is from RNAcentral.
AUGUUCCUGAAAUGUUCGAAUAACCUAUAAUUUUGAACCUACAGAUGACAUACGGGAGCCCGACUGUUUUUAUUAGGAACACAGGCCUCAAGCUAAUUCCGACAUCAGUAAAUAAACUGAUGCAACGGCAGAGGAAGCGUGAAUAAUAAAGCAGGGCACCCACCUAGCUUGCGGCUAGGUGUCAAAAUUUAGGGGAACGGCAUUUUGGGGCAUG